AACGAACGCUGGCGGCGCGCCUAAUACAUGCAAGUCGAACGAGAAUGUGUAGCAAUACACAUGUACAGUGGCGAACGGGUGAGGAUUACAUGGGUAACCUACCCUCGAGUGGGGAAUAACUAGCCGAAAGGUUAGCUAAUACCGCGUACGCUUCCCGGACUGCGGUUCGGGAAGGAAAGCGAUACCGUGGGUAUCGCGCUCUUGGAUGGGCUCAUGCCCUAUCAGCUUGUUGGUGAGGUAACGGCUCACCAAGGCUUCGACGGGUAGCUGAUCUGAGAGGAUGAUCAGCCACACUGGCACUGCGACACGGGCCAGACUCCUACGGGAGGCAG
RNAcentral lists this ribosomal RNA (332 nucleotides) under uncultured Nitrospirota bacterium. Its description in RNAcentral is "bacterial SSU rRNA". It matches the Rfam family "Bacterial small subunit ribosomal RNA", at positions 29 to 351 of the family's 1533-position model. The record is from RNAcentral. Lineage: Bacteria; Pseudomonadati; Nitrospirota.